RNAcentral lists this ribosomal RNA (1335 nucleotides) under Triticum aestivum (bread wheat). Its description in RNAcentral is "partial small subunit ribosomal RNA". The record is from RNAcentral. Lineage: Eukaryota; Viridiplantae; Streptophyta; Magnoliopsida; Poales; Poaceae.
AUGGCGAGUUCUCGCCUCGCUCUGGGCGUUCUACUACUGCUCGUCGUGGCGACAUCGGGUGCGGCGGCGUUCCGGACGGGCAACACGACGGCCAUCCACAUCGGCAACACCAAGGCCUGCAUCGCCGGCUACGGGGGGCUUGAGGAUCUGGGCAUGUCGUACAAGCUCUGCAUCCCCUCCUGGGUCGCCUUCACCCCCAACGGCACCCUCUUCGGCGAGGCCGCCUUGAACCACGCCGCCGUCAGCCCCGGGACGGCCGUCUCCGGCUUCAAGCGGGUCCUCGGUUCCAAGUACCAACAUUCUCUCUUGUUUUCUUCCCUCCUCCGCCUAAGUCGAUGGAUGUUUGAGGACGUGGUGAAGGCAGAGAUGGAGCUGGUGCCGUACAAGCUCGUCGGGACCCAGGCCGGAAGGUGUGCUAUCCAGAUCGAGACCGAGGAAGGCGGCGCCGAGGUUUUCUCCGCCCACACAGUCGCCGGCAUUCUCAUAUCCAAGCUUAAGCGGAUGGCGGAGGCGCACCUGGGCCGCAAGAUCAGGAGCGCUCUCCUGACCGUCCCCUGGCACUGGAGGGACUACCAAAGGCACCUUCUCGCAACGGCCGCCCGGCUCGAGGGCGGCUUCUCCGCCGCGAGGUACGUCGACGAGCACGUCGCGGUGGCCGCGGCGCUCGGCCAUCACGAGAAGGCGCGCCAAGGCAAGGUCAUCCUCGUCUUCCACAUGGGCGGCCGCACGACCCACGCCACCAUGUUUAAGUUUCGGGACGGCACGACUCGUCUCAUUGAAGGGCGCCAUGAUGCCCAACUGGGCGGCGACGACUUCACCUGCCGACUCGUGGACCACUUCGUCCAGCUUAUCAGGGAGAAGCACCACCGGGACCUCCGCCAGGACGAUGGCGCGCUCCGGGAGCUGAGGGCGGCGUGCGAGAGGGCCAAGAAGGCGCUGACCUACUGGGACACCACGCUUGUGAAGGUGGAGUCGCUCUUGGACGGGGCGGAUUUCUUCGAGCCGCUCACGAGGGCCGAGUUCGAGGAGCUCAACCGUGAUCUGCUGGCGAGAGCCACUAGCAUGGUGGACCUGCUGGCGUCGUGGCGGUGGUGGCUCCCUCCCGGCCGGUGGGACAACAUCGAUGAGAUCAUCCUCGUCGGCGGCAGCGUGAGGAUCCCCAAGAUUAUUGAGUUUUUCAGGGACUAUUUCCAUGGCCGGGAGCCAAUUGUGGAGGAGGAAGCGGCGAUUCGCGGCGCUGCUCUGCUCUCCCGCCCUGAGUCUGCAAUGUUCACAUACGACAACUGCGAUUGCCAUGGAAAUCCUUUGCAGGCGUCUGAAAAUAUAAUUGAAUAG